This 501-nucleotide ribosomal RNA is filed under the name uncultured bacterium. RNAcentral's name for it is "partial 16S ribosomal RNA". It matches the Rfam family "Bacterial small subunit ribosomal RNA", at positions 30 to 523 of the family's 1533-position model. The record is from RNAcentral.
AUUGAACGCUGGCGGCAGGCUUAACACAUGCAAGUCGAGCGGAGAUGAGGUGCUUGCACCUUAUCUUAGCGGCGGACGGGUGAGUAAUGCUUAGGAAUCUGCCUAUUAGUGGGGGACAACAUUCCGAAAGGAAUGCUAAUACCGCAUACGUCCUACGGGAGAAAGCAGGGGAUCUUCGGACCUUGCGCUAAUAGAUGAGCCUAAGUUGGACUAGCUAGUUGGUGGGGUAAAGGCCUACCAAGGCGACGAUCUGUAGCGGGUCUGAGAGGAUGAGCCGCCAAACUGGGACUGAGACACAGCCCAGACUCCUACGGGAGGCAGCAGUGGGGAAUAUUGGACGAUGGGAGGAACCCUGAGCCAGCCAUGCCGCGUGUGUGAAGAAGGCCUUAUGGUUGUAAAGCACUUUAAGCGAGGAGGAGGAUACUGAGACUAAUACUCUUGGAUAGUGGACGUUACUCGCAGAAUAAGCACCGGCUAACUCUGUGCCAGCCGCCGCCGUAA